UGCAAGUCGAACGGUGAAGCCAAGCUUGCUUGGUGGAUCAGUGGCGAACGGGUGAGUAACACGUGAGCAACCUGCCCUGGACUCUGGGAUAAGCGCUGGAAACGGCGUCUAAUACUGGAUAUGAGCUCUCAUCGCAUGGUGGGGGUUGGAAAGAUUUUUCGGUCUGGGAUGGGCUCGCGGCCUAUCAGCUUGUUGGUGAGGUAAUGGCUCACCAAGGCGUCGACGGGUAGCCGGCCUGAGAGGGUGACCGGCCACACUGGGACUGAGACACGGCCCAGACUCCUACGGGAGGCAGCAGUGGGGAAUAUUGCACAAUGGGCGGAAGCCUGAUGCAGCAACGCCGCGUGAGGGAUGACGGCCUUCGGGUUGUAAACCUCUUUUAGCAGGGAAGAAGCGAGAGUGACGGUACCUGCAGAAAAAGCGCCGGCUAACUACGUGCCAGCAGCCGCGGUAAUACGUAGGGCGCAAGCGUUAUCCGGAAUUAUUGGGCGUAAAGAGCUCGUAGGCGGUUUGUCGCGUCUGCUGUGAAAUCCCGAGGCUCAACCUCGGGCCUGCAGUGGGUACGGGCAGACUAGAGUGCGGUAGGGGAGAUUGGAAUUCCUGGUGUAGCGGUGGAAUGCGCAGAUAUCAGGAGGAACACCGAUGGCGAAGGCAGAUCUCUGGGCCGUAACUGACGCUGAGGAGCGAAAGGGUGGGGAGCAAACAGGCUUAGAUACCCUGGUAGUCCACCCCGUAAACGUUGGGAACUAGUUGUGGGGACCAUUCCACGGUUUCCGUGACGCAGCUAACGCAUUAAGUUCCCCGCCUGGGGAGUACGGCCGCAAGGCUAAAACUCAAAGGAAUUGACGGGGACCCGCACAAGCGGCGGAGCAUGCGGAUUAAUUCGAUGCAACGCGAAGAACCUUACCAAGGCUUGACAUACACCAGAACACCGUAGAAAUACGGGACUCUUUGGACACUGGUGAACAGGUGGUGCAUGGUUGUCGUCAGCUCGUGUCGUGAGAUGUUGGGUUAAGUCCCGCAACGAGCGCAACCCUCGUUCUAUGUUGCCAGCACGUAAUGGUGGGAACUCAUGGGAUACUGCCGGGGUCAACUCGGAGGAAGGUGGGGAUGACGUCAAAUCAUCAUGCCCCUUAUGUCUUGGGCUUCACGCAUGCUACAAUGGCCGGUACAAAGGGCUGCAAUACCGUGAGGUGGAGCGAAUCCCAAAAAGCCGGUCCCAGUUCGGAUUGAGGUCUGCAACUCGACCUCAUGAAGUCGGAGUCGCUAGUAAUCGCAGAUCAGCAACGCUGCGGUGAAUACGUUCCCGGGUCUUGUACACACCGCCCGUCAAGUCAUGAAAGUCGGUAACACCUGAAGCCGGUGGCCCAACCCUUGUGGAGGGAGCCGUCGAA
Molecule: ribosomal RNA, 1394 nt
Filed under: Actinomycetes bacterium
Lineage: Bacteria; Bacillati; Actinomycetota; Actinomycetes
Description: bacterial SSU rRNA
Rfam family: Bacterial small subunit ribosomal RNA
Source: RNAcentral